This 253-nucleotide ribosomal RNA is filed under the name uncultured bacterium. RNAcentral describes it as "partial 16S ribosomal RNA". It matches the Rfam family "Bacterial small subunit ribosomal RNA", at positions 524 to 776 of the family's 1533-position model. The record is from RNAcentral.
UACGUAGGGGGCAAGCGUUGUCCGGAAUCAUUGGGCGUAAAGCGCGCGUAGGCGGCCCGGUAAGUCCGCUCUGAAAGUCCAGGGCUCAACCCUGGAAAGCGGGUGGAUACUGCCGGGCUAGAAUCCGGAAGAGGCGAGUGGAAUUCCUGGUGUAGCAGUGGAAUGCGCAGAUAUCAGGAGGAACACCAAUAGCGAAGGCAGCUCGCUGGGACGGUAUUGACGCUAAGGCGCGAAAGCGUGGGGAGCAAACAGG